This 13389-nucleotide long non-coding RNA is filed under the name Hordeum vulgare. RNAcentral describes it as "long non-coding RNA (HVUL_LNC008883)". Lineage: Eukaryota; Viridiplantae; Streptophyta; Magnoliopsida; Poales; Poaceae. The record is from RNAcentral.
AAAACCUGGGUGCUCUCUUGUGGGGACCCUGACUUGUAAUUCGAGAUCGCCGAAUGUACGUACUCAGUGAUCCCAGAGAUCAAUGCUUACUGAAUACACAAAAACUGAAUAACAAGAGUCAUACAUCCAUACACACUGUUUGAUACAAAUAAUGACCAUUACGGACAUGUCUUACGUAGAUAGGGACUUGAAGGCCAACACACCAAACAAAACUAAUAGAGGAAAUCUUGCUUGAAAGCGUGAACCCAUGCCAGCGGCCUUAACCUACAAGCAUUCUGACUAGGAAGCAUCCUCAUUCACACGAAUGUCACCAAGGUACUCUUCACCAUCUCCCAUUCUCUCUUACCUGGUCAAUGAAAUAACCAGUGGCAAGCCAAUGAGUACUUUGAACGUACUCGCAACCAACCCAUGUUGUGGAACAAAUUAAUAAUGAAACAUGACAUAACAUUGGUAUGCUAUUUAUGCGGAAAGCAGAUUUUCCCUAGUGCAAUAACACGAUCAAAUUCUUGUGCGACAUGCAUCACAAGGCAUAGCGGUAACCCAAUGAACUAGUUACAGAUAUCAAUAUCAACUGAGGGUUGAACAUCCCAUGUCCACCCAUCAUGCCAAGUCACCUGACUCAGCUCAAGCAUCAUCUUUCCCAUGUCACCAUCUUUUUCUCAUACGCCCCCCCCCCACACACACACACACUUGGUUUAUGCGGAAACAACUGGACGUAGUUUAAGAAGGAUUACCCAACUGUCCUUGAUAGUGGACACGGCUAUUAAAAUAGUUUUACACUCUGCACAGGUUGCGCGUUGUACCCACUAGACUCGGGGAACUUCUGUAUCAUCUACGACUCGCGGUAUAUAACACACAACCCAACAAGGGGGAUCUUCGAUCCAACAUGAAUAUAUGCAUAAGUAAGGUACCACAUGACAUGCAAAUAAAAGUUUCUUAGGCAUGGUCAAAGGGCUGCUUGCCCGGUUCAGCACAGUCUUCGAGGUCUUCUCAUGCUUCUCAUCUAUCUCUGAGUACUUCGUCUACUUCGUCAACUAUCGUCGGAAACAACCAUAGUAAACCACACAACAAGCAGAAAACAGAAGUGCUUUCUAAGUAAGAGUUUUAUUUUCCUUGUACAUCUCUAGUCAUAAGAAAAAUUCCUAAAGCUUGUCUAAGGGAGUUGGACCACCAGAGAUGUUUGAACGGUGGAAAUGGAGGCAUCACUCGCCCCACAAGAAUUCUACAGACAACAUUCUGGUAAAAAUGAGUGGAGGUACUCAUUUAUUAGGGCAUUAUUUUAGAAAUAUUUAGGAAGUGGUUUCAUUGGAUUUAUAAUUGGUAUGAAUUUCCUAUGGUUUUCUAACAUGGAAUAAAUAGAAAUAGGUGCUAUUUAUUUGAUGCAACAAUAAUAUGGCACAGAAAAAUGUUGACUAAUUCUAGAAAAGUAGUGCAUGAAAUUCUAAGUCUUUGGAAAUUGGAAUCACUCCAUUUGGAGUUGAUUUGAGUGUUGCAAGACUUUACAAAGGUGGAGUUUCAAAUAUUGAAAUUUGUAUUUGAAUAUUAAUACUACAGGAAACUUCUUGGAAAAAUGUGCAAUGCACAUAUCUGGAUAGGUGGUGAUUUUAUGGAUUUGCAGGAAUUUAUAUUUUGGAGUUCAUAUGAAUUUAUUGUGGAUUUUACAAGUUUCACCGAACUAGAAAAAGAAAAGGAUUUACCCAAAGGGCUAAACGGCGCAUCACGUGAGGGAUAGCAAUUGGGCCGGCCCAGUAGCUUAGCUGCGCGUGCGCAGCGGUCACGCCGAAGGCGCAUUCCGUGGAAUGCAUCUCCCACACGAGGAGGCGGCAUCCAGCCAGAGGCGCGGCCACUUAAACAGGAGGGGGUCGGGUCCUAGCCACUGACCAGCGGGGCCCGCUCGUCAUCUCCAUCAUCCUCCUCUCGCUCGAAACAGAGGAUAGCAGUGAAGGUUGGUCGAACCGGUGCUAGUGCCCGCUCCGGUGGCUCCGACCACGUCCUACGGCGCUCCGGCCACCAGCGGGCUUGGGGCGGCCUACCGCACACACCUUGGGGCGGCCUAUUGCACACGCCUUGGCGACAAUGGCCGAGGCCACGGUGGGGGUUACCGCUGGUUUUGUGGGGCAUGUCCAUGCGGGCACGGAAAAAGGAAAAUAGGACGCGUGGAGGGAUUGGUGGAGAUGUAGGGUGCCCUGGGGUGAGUCCUAUGGAGUGGAGGGGCUUGGGAGUGCCCAGAACCGAGCGGGGGCCUAGGCGGCAUCGCUGUUUGCAGGAGGAGAGAGAGCACGGGGAGUGCCCUGGGGCUGACCGGGAGGCGAUUAGGAGGGAGUGGGUGGACCAGGGGGUCAGUGUACUCGGGGAGAGGAGUAUAUAGUGGAGGCGCUGAAUCGGGAGUUUGGUGGCCACGGAUGCUCUUCGGGCGCGACGAGCACACGCGUCAGGCCUACCUUGGAAGCUUGCUCGCAUCGCGGAGGGGCACAUGUUGCCAAGGAGGGUCUUCUGUCACGCCGGGACACGCUACCACAACCAGACACAAGCUGCAACAUGAGGACAACGUGCAGAGCACCAUUACUGCAUGCAGUCAACGUGGUCACCAUGCUAAUGCUUGUCAAGGACCAUCCUUUGGCCACGCGAAGGUGUCCAGCAUUCAAGGCAUGUGUGCGAGAGGGCAGUGACGCAAGUUGGACCUGAAUGGAGUAGGUUGGGUUAGAUUUGACCACUCAUUCAGUUUGCAGUAGCAAACUUGGGGCUAGCAAAAGGUGUUCUUGCUGGAAAACUUUUGAAAUUAAACCAAUUCUAGUAGUCAUAGGCAUGGAGGGACUACAAGACUUCCAAGUUUCAGAUCAACGAGAGGAGUGUAGCUAGCACUUGCAGUUCAAGGCCACAUUUCUGCCAAAAAUCAAGUUUCAGAAGGACUGCUCAUAUUUUCCACAUGAGCAUGCCAUAUCUUUGCUUGAAAUAGUGCAUUAGUAUACUAGAGAUGCUCUGGAAGGAUGUGGGGGCAUUAACUUGAAUAGAAUUAUUGGGAGAGAGUAAAAGAGGGCCUGCCAUGGUAGAAAGGAGAGGUAAGGAGAGGGAGUCACCCUCCAAUAAUUGACCAGGGGCAAUGACAAAGUUACUCGAGGUGAUAGAGGGAUAGAAGAAGUUGUGGUAAAAAUUUGAGCUCAAGAAGAUAAGUACAAGGGGUCAAAGAAGAAAGUUUGGUAAGCGAGCAGAAGGUGUUUGAUGGGUGUUAGGGCUAGAAAAUGAAUUCCAAUUGCUAAGAAACUUAACACGAUCACAUGAUAGGUUAAAUGAGACACGAUACCAAAUUUGGGAUUUGUUGGAGAAAGUUUCCAGUGUAGACUUGAAAAAUCCUAGAAAUAGGCAUAAAUUACUUUCUAAAGAUAAACCCAUGCAAUUUAAUUCCCACAAAUUCGCCACUUGUUGUGGUGACAUUAUUUGAGUAUUAUAGCAUGCCCAAAAACUUUGGGAUCAAUUGGAGAAACUUCACAAUGUAAAGUUCCCCAACUCUAGAAAUCAGCAGGGGAGGUUUUGAGGGAUUUUGGACAAGUUCAUAUAUUCUCCUUGAUGCAACACUUGGUUUGGAUGCAUUAUUGGAGUAUGCGAACAUGUCCACAAAAUUUGAGCACAAUUGGAGACACUUGGCAAUGUAGAGUUUCUCAAAUUUGGAUCUGGACACACAGGGUUUUCGAAUAUCUAGCUAAAUCAAAUCAACUUGGACUGAUAUGAAACUUGGCAAGAUCAUCACAUAUAUCAUGUGUGAAAUGCUAGAAUUUUACUAGGAUUUAUUGGAAGUAUUUUCUAUGGAAAUAUUCCAAAAGCUUGAAAUAGGCAGAAAGGGUUUUGAAGAGUUUUGUCCAAUAUUUUUAAGAUGACCAUGUUUUGAAACUCUUAUACAUUGAAUAUAUAUGUCCACUAAGUUACCCUAAAUUUUCUCAAAUAUUUUGAAAGCAGAAAAAAUAACCUUUCUUCAAUAAAGAUCAUUUCUGGCCUUAGAAGAAUGUAUUUAAAUAAAAUAGUAAAAUAGGUUUUAAAAUAAUAAGCUUGUGGUUUUGGGAAGUCUGUUUAAUAAUGGUAUUUAAAUAAAAAUAUUUGGUGCAAAACAACCCCCCUAAUUUGAGGACUUGUAGUACAAAUCCCAACUCACAGGUUUUUGAAAGCUUAAAUAAAAUAAAAUAUUUUUUGUAAAAAUAGCUUCUCGUCUUAUACACAUGGUAUGGUCACUAGGCAAAUACUUUGCGAUGGAUGUGAUUCUAAGGGGUAGUAGGAACUUGCUGAUUUAAACACAAGCAAACAAGCAAGCAAGCAACACUCACAUCAAGCAUCACAAGCACACACACAAAUUUUAAGUGGUCCUAAUUUUUUAGAUAAGUUUAUUUAGUCAGGAGAGCCAAAACACAUGGUGUGACAGACCUAUCCCCCUUACAAGAAUCUCGUCCCCGAGAUUCCUAGGCUAGGCGUUGGAGAGAUAUAGAACUUUGGGUCGAUGGCAGCCUUCACGUUCCGAUGUUGCUCGUGCUUCGAUGUGGUUGCUCCUGUGGGUCUUGAAGUGCUUGAUGAUACAUCUUCGAAUGCUCCGCUCAUCUUCGCGUAAUCAUGAAUAGGGUUUUAGCAAUAAGCUAGGCUUGACUAAGGGUCAAGGGCUUGGUGAACUAAGUUGUCGCAAGGGUUUGGCUUACAUGUGUACUCCAAGAUCAGAAUAUGUGGCAAGGUAGUGUCUGGGUGCUGGUCCCGAGGCUGCGCACGUUGGUUAGUGACACCUCAAUGUCUCGUGUUAGAAUAUAAGGGUUCGUCGUAGUCCUUUCGUCGAGAUCUUCUGCUUGGGUAAGUUGCUCGUGUAUGUGCUUCAUUCUUCUCCGACCGUUUUUCGUUGUCGUCAUGAACGCAUGCUUCCGGUGUGUCUUCACAUGUUUGGUCUUCUAGCCUCUUCGUAGCUUCUCGUGAAAACUCCUGGGUUGGGUCUCGUCCAUAAUAUUAAGCUUAAGGACACGAUGUUGGAACGGGUCUUAUAACCUAGGGGAGUUCUUGAGGGGUCCUAGAUGAGCUGGCUACCCGGAAGUAUAGACGAGUCAUCUAAUACCUAUGGUGUGCAGCUUGGCAAGCGGGGUGAACUUCCCCUUGACAGGGGCUUCACCAUGGUCUAGUUAGGACUCAUGUCCCUGAUUUGGACCAAGAAGGGCUCUUUAGUUUCCCUUGAUGUCCAAAGGCUUCAUCGACUUGAACAUCGAUGCUUCUUGGCAUAGUAGAUGUAACCGAUAGAGGAGCGGCGGUUGACUUCUACUACUUCUUCUUCUUCGUCAUGGUUUCCCAACCAUGGCAGUUCUUCACCUCGUCUUGGGUAGGAUUGACUUCUGCUGCUUGGAGAUUUCUUCGAGGGGUCCAUUUUCGCAAGGUAAUACCUUACUCUUGAGAGGCAUGGUGAUCGGUGUUCCUGGGGCUUGUCCAAAUAGGACUAAGGUGUUCCUCCUCUUAUUGGGUGAAUAAGUAUGUCAUCCAUGACGAUAACAACAUACUUACCCAAGCAUCACAUAAGCACACUACUGAUGAGAUAGGUGAGAGGAGCGGGGGUUUCUUAUGGGCGGUCACUUGCUGAGGGGUUCGCGGUCCAACAUAAUCUAGUCCUUCAUGUCCAUGUUCCUCAUAGACACGAUUAUUGAUGGUCAGGGCGGAUGAUUGGUCAUAGCCCAAUACCUUAGAGUCGUUUCCUAUGGUCAUAACCCGACCAUCCUAGGGCUCAGUGAAUCUUUAGGGUCUGAAGAACUUAGGAUUUGAGUCAACGUCUAUCAUCUUAUGCCUAAGCACAUUCCUUAGAUGCCAAUAGUAUAGUCUCUAUCUCGGACAAAAAUCACCCUAUAUCAGCAAAGGUACCAUCUCACUUAGGUCAACUCCACACCACUCAUGCUAGUCAACUCCAGGAUCUUAGGGAAGGACCUACCCUAACCUCAUAAGUAUACUAUAGCUAAGUUGCACCUAUAUUCCCAUGUAAGAAUUCUCGGGAAAACAUACAAGCUGCUAAGAUUGAAUCAAGGCACUGGAAAUACAAGUGCUCACCUUGAUUAUCCAAUGGCCAGGGUGUUGCAUCCCUAUGUUAAGGAAACAUGUAGUGUACCAACCCAAGGUCUUGUUUCCUUCCUACGAAUCCAAUAAAGCGGUCCAUCAAUCCCAUCAACCAUCACUGGAGCCAUCAAUCCUACAAAUCCAAUAUCGAUGGGGUUUUCCAUAAUCACCUAGAGUCCUUGUAAUCCACAUAUCAUUGCAAGGACUAUUCCCUAGUAUACCCACCAUCUUCCAAUAUCAUGGCCAACUAAUCUACAAGGCCAGGUUUAUGUAGAUUCGUAAAUCAAUUCGACAACUCCAAUUACUUCUACUUGCUACCCACAUAGAAACAUGGUAUCAUGAUCGAGAUCAUCAGACUAAAUCCAAUUUACUCCGGACCAUGCAGCCUCAUUCACAAUCGAUACUCUAUUAAGAUCACCUGUUAAUGCCAAAUCUCAUGCCCAACAAGAACUCUUACUCGUUACCCCCAAGUCAUUUUGGUAACAUCAUCUAACCAUGACUACUACUUGACAAAGUAUUUCUACUGUACCACCAAGAAUUUUAGCUCGUGAUCAAAAUUUUCCUACUGAAUCCGAACUUACUCCAGGAAUAUGUAGGUUAUGCUACUUUAUCAACUUGUCCCACCAUGUUCGCCUACCAUCAUAAGGGUCUUACGAUCCACCAAGAUAGUCUAGCUACAUCCUCAAGACACCUAUUAUCAUCAGAACAACCCAUUGUCUACAAAUAAUAUAUUCUAGAAUGAUCCUUCAUAUGGCAUCACGGUUCUGGUGCUAGCUUUAGAAUUAAGGGUACUUGUUCACUGUGAUCACUUGUUCCAUAGUGGACCCAACGCUAAGUGGGGGUUAUUAGAGCUCACCAGGUGCUCUGUCAAUUUGAUGUAUUAGACACGUGACCAGAAGGUUGAGCUGGGGAAUCUUGUGAGGUUUAGGUUGGUCUAGGGAGGGACUUCCCAUAUCGAGGGAAUGCAUAACUUCUAUGGGUCCCUUCUAGUUGAGCACAUUAUAGCCAGCAUAUUCAGUGCCAGUCGUCUGACGAAGUGGACCCUUGGUGCAUCUUGUCUUGCUGGUCUCCAACUGUCGAGAAGGGUUGAAGGGAGAAAAGUAGCAUAGAGGGGAGUGCUUAAGGGGGUGGUAUAGUGCAAGUGCAAUCAAACAAGUGCCGAAAGGCCAACACAAUCAUCAAGAUGAGGCAGGUGAUAUAGUCGCAUACUCAUUGCCUAGGGCAAAUGUUCGACGUAUAUCAAUGCAUAAACAAGUAAAACAAGCAACACAAAAUAUGGUCCCAUUCGAACCAUUUCACGGACUCAACUUCACAUAGGGGGGUUCAUGACUCAUCCUACCCUAGGGGUCCUCUAACUCAAUAGUUGUGCUUGCUUCGUGCUUUGGAGAGGAGUCCGCACAAUCUUCUGGUCCUUCUUAUGGUGUUGCUAUGUCCCUCGUUGUUGUUUGUCGAAUCGACUUGGGUUGAGCUGGAAUGAGUCCUUCACGACUUCUCAUCUAGUGAGCCAUCGGCGAAGGGGGUUCCUCAUGGUUGUUGUCGACAUGGUAUUUUGUUGGUCUCAUAAUCAUGUCGAUGUCUUCUUGCCAUCCUAGGCAUCGAGAGUUCCUAGUGGAUAACCUUUAUGCAAUGACAUCAACAAGGCUUGAUAGAGUUCCGACCCGUCAGUUAUGUUGAUGGCAAUAUAGACACCAAGAGUGGGGGGGUGAAAAGAACCGUUUUCCUGCUCAGUGAGGUGAGGCGGACCAAAUGGCAAGAUUCUCACCCACCAAUGGUGGUCGACACAACAUCGAUAAUGACAGGGUCGCUCCAUUAGUGAUGCAUAUCAUGAUCUUGCAUAUCUUAUGUCCUGAUUAUCAUAGCCAAAGUUGUACCACUCUCGGAUGGUGUCGAUGGUGUCACCAUCUUGUGAGUCUUGAUGCCCUCAUUCCUCGAGAAGGUAGCUUCUAUUGGUGUCGUCUUGUCAUAGCGUUGCCAACCUUGUCCUCCACGUACGUGGGUGAUCCCUUGGAAAGGUUUCUUCCUUCCAAGUUACCCAUGAGCAUUUUAAGCAAUCCAAUGGUCACGGGCGUAAGGGUGCUAGCGACCAUUUGCAAGUUUUGAAAAAGCAGAUGAGGAGAGUCGAGAGAAUAAGGGUGGAAGUGCUAAGGCAAAAACUUCCGCUUUCUUUGGAUAUUUAGGAGAGUUGAGAAGUAUAGAGGUUUAGCAAGUGCUUUUGAAGGGUUCGGAAAAGCAAUUUUGUCCUAACUAAUGUCCUUGCUAACUAAGGGCUUCCUACAAUCAGGAUGGCUCUGAUACCAGCUCUGUGGGGACCCCGACUUGUAAGACAAGAUUGUCGAAUGUACGUGCUCAGUGAUCCUAGAGAUCAAUGCUCACCGAACACACAGAAACUGAAUAACAAGAGUCUUACAUCCAUACAUACUGUCUGAUACAAAUAAUGACCAGUAAGGUCAAGUCUUACAUAGAUAGAGCCUUGAAGGCCAACACACCAAACAAAACAAAUAGCGGAAAUCUUGGUUGAAAGUGUGAACCCAUGCCAUCAACCUUAACCUACACGCAUUCUGACUGGGAAGCAUCCUAGUUUGCAUGAUCGUCACCAAGGUACUCUUCACCAUCUCAUGUUCUCUCUUACCUGGUCAAUGAAAUAACCAGUGGCAAGCCAAUGAGUUGUUUGAAUGUACUCGCAAGCAACCCAUGUUGCAGAACAAGGUAAUAAUGAAACAUGACAUAACAUUGGUAUGCUAAUUUUGCAGAAAGCAGAUUUUGCCCUAGUACGAUAACAUGAUCAAAUUCUUGUGCGACAUGCAUCACAAGGCAUAGCGGUAACCCAAUGAACUGGUCAGAUAUCAAUAUCAACUGAGGGUCGAACAUCCCAUGUCCAUGCAUCAUGCCAAGUCACCUAACUUAGCUCAAGCAUCAUCUUUACCAUGUCACCAUCUUUUUCUCAUACGCCCCCCCCCCACACACACACACNAACUUCCGUGUCAUCCACGACUUGUGGUAUAUAACAUACCCGAGGUAAGAACCUGAACAAUGCCUUUCCCAUGGCGCCACUAAACAAAGAGUCCACUCGUUUGGUACACAACUCACAUGAUGUAGAUCAUACGACCUCGUUCUAGAUCGCAUCAUCCAUGUGGGGACGGACAAUGUGCCAAGAACCUGUAAAAUAGCAUAGUCGUCCUACCUGGCACGACCCCGUCCCGAGAGUGGCCACCUGACACGACCCCGUCAAUAGUAAUGCGGGCUCUCUUCCAGUAUCGACCAUGGUAAUCAACAAAGCCCCGUCCCAUAAGGGGUAUCGUGGUCGCACAUGUAAGGUUGGGACGGUCGACAAAUCUUAAAUCUAAUCCCGUUUUCGAAACCACACAUGCAAAACCUUUCUUGGUACAUCACUUCUUUCUCAAGUGGUCAUCCAUUUCAACACCAUCACCCUCGGGCAUUAGUGGCACCCGAUGGGGUUCUCAAAAAGUCUUUGUAAACAUUCCCUUCAUCGUCACCAUGCAUAUUUCCAUCGCUUCUUGCGUAUAAAUUACUAGCAACUAUCUACAUCCCACAUGCACAACCCUCAUAGGUGGUAGGGUCAUGCCCAAAUGCAGGUUUCAACGAGGUGUUCUUCAGGGACAACCCAACAAGGGGGGUCUCCGGUCCAACAUGAAUAUAUGCAUAAGUAAGGUACCACAUGACAUGCAAAUAAAAAAUUCUUAGUCAUGGUCAAAGGGCUGCUUGCGUUGUUUAGCAAAGUCUUCGAGGUCUUCUCAUGCUUCUCGUCUAUCUCCGAGUACUUCGUCAACUAACGUCGAAAACCACCAUAGUAAGCCAGACAACAAGCAGAAAACAAAAGUGCUUUAUAAAUAGGAUUUUUAUUUUCCUUGGACAUCUCUGGUCAUAAGAAAAAUUCAUAAAGCUUGUUCUAAGGGAGUUGGAUCAUGAGAGAUGUUUGAACGGUUGAAAUGGAGGCAUCACUGGCCCCACAAGAAGUCUACACAAAACAUUCUGCUAAAAAUUAGUGGAGGCACUCAUUUAUUACGGCAUGAUUUUAGAAAUAUUUAGGAAGUGGUUUCAUUGGAUUUGGAAUUGGUAUGAAUUUCCUAUGGUUUUUCUAACAUGGAAUAAAUAGAAAUAGGUGCUAUUUAUUUGAUGCAACAGAAAUAUGGAAGAUAAAAAGUUGACCAAUUCUAGAAAAAUAGUGCAUGACAUUCUAAGUCUCUCAAAAUUGGAAUCACACCAUUUGGAGUUGAUUUCAGUGUUGCAAGAAUUUACAAAGGUGGAGUUUCGAAUAUUCAAAUUUGUAUUCAAAUAUUAAUACUACAGAAAAGCUUCUUGGAAAAAUGUGCAAUGCACAUAUCUGGAUAGGUGGUGAUUUUAUCGUUCUGCAGGAAUUUGAAUCACCUAUUUUGGAGUUCAUAUGAAUUUAUUAUGGAUUUUACAAGUUUCACCGAAAAAGAAAAAAGAAAAGGAUUUACCCAAAGGCCUAAACGGCACAUCGGGCAAGGGAUAGCUACUGGGCCGACCCAAUAGCUUAGAUGCGCAUGUGCAGCUGCCACUCCGUAGGCGCAUUUCAUGAAAUGCGCCUCCCACGCGGGGAGGUAGAAUCCAGCCGGAGGCGCGACCACUUAAACAGGGGGUGGGUCAUAGCCACUCACCAGUGGGGCCCGCUCUUCAUCUUCAUCGUCCUCCUCCCGCUUGAAACAGAGGAGGGCAGGGGAGGCAGGCCGAGCCGGUGCUGGUGCCCGCUCUGAUGGCUUCGACCACUUCCGGCGGUGCUUCGGCCACCGACGGGCUCGGGGCAGCCUACCACACAUGCUUGGGUGCCCCUUGGCCCUGGGGAAUUGUCGGGGGCGACGUGGCGGCCGAUUUUACAGAAAGUAAUUUCCAGAAAACAAGCCUUUGUGUUCACAAGCCCCAGGACUACUAUUAACUGGCGGACACUCACUUGAUACAGAAAUCCCAAGAAAAUUACAAAGUCUGGGUUACAAGACCAUGAAGGUCCACUGGUUUGGACAAAAGCCUUAGGCUGAUGACAGAAGCGACUCGAAGAUCCUCUAGUGCUCAUGGGUGUCCAUGUCCACAGGAACAGCUAACCUAGAUAAAUUACUAUCUCACAAGGCUGCUAUCCUCGACUCCUAGGUUCCGGGGUUGACGGCAUCGUACUCCUCUCCGAAAGCAAUCUGGCCAAGACAAUAGCCAGGGACAAGCUAGUGAUUACUUUGAAUGUACUCACAAACAUCAAGAAAACAGAUAAGUCAAAGCAGGUGAGAUGCCUGCAUAAUACACCUAAUAACUCUAUCAUGCCAUUAAUUCACGGAUGCAUUCAUGCAGAUAAAUCAUUUCCACCAAUGAUGUAUAAGAAAGCAAGGAAGGGUAGUACUCAAUUUUAAGCUUGUCGAUCGGGUGUCUGAGGCGACACCUCGGAAGGACAAGUACCAGAAGCCACAGCCAGGCGUCUUAGUGGCACCACAUAAAGGGACUUGUCAAUGAAAUGUUAAUAAACAUGCCACAAUUGGGCGUCUGGGGCGACACCUCAAAAAGGGCUUAUAUGAAAGUAAUAACAAUUGUCGGUGUCGGGCGUCUAAGCGACACCACAGAAAGGGCUUAUCUGAAAGAAAUAACAGUUGCCACAAUCGGGCGUCUAUGCGACAUCGCAGAAAGGGCAUAUAUGAGAUCAACACUGAGUACCCAAGAGGUAGAACUGUCCCGAGGAUACUCUAAUAAUUCCAUAUAUCACAUAUGAUUAGUCCAAAUCAGAAUUCCUAAAGAUAAUAAUAACAAUUAUCACCUCGGAUAAUUUGUAUCACUCCAUUCAAAUUUAAUUCCUCCGAAGACCGGCACUUGACAAGUCAACCAGUCUUCCUUGACCGUGGACGUGGCUACUCGAAUAGUUUUGACUCUGUAGAGGGUGUACUCUUUACCCGCUGACCAUGGGUUUCAAUAGUCACUCUGACUAAUCCCGUGUAUGGUAUUUUAGAAGUAAGUACUCGAAACCAGCACACACCCAUUUUUCCACUUCGUAGAACUAACUCUCCGGGACUACGCUACCAUGGAAAAAACUAUAAGACGGGGAGGCUCCAACCUCUACUAGCAUGGGAUCAAAUUUAUACCGCGCGCUACAAGGGAAGGGCCAUUCCCUCUGGGUCCCACACAGGAAACACCCAUGCCCCUUGACUGGAUGACUGGAUUUAGUCCAGGGCCAUGGAUACCUUCAUCCCGACCUCUCUACUUGGUGUGUACCUGGUAAUAGGGUUACGACCUACUAGACUGUAUUCCCUUUCGGGAAGACAUGUGGCAGCACGAAAGGUAUGGUGACACACUGACAAGACUCGAUAUACGGUCGACUUAGGAGGUUUAAGUUUCCCUGCAAGGGCUAGUACCACAAGAUUUGCUAAGUGACAUACCUCAGGGUUACCACCAUCACACCCUGACAUGCCUUCACUAACCACUCUCGUCCCACGAGAUGUUAGUCCCAUGGUCUCAUAUUCACCACAACACACCUUCCUCUGAGGUUGUCCAUACCAACUUGGCAUACGAGGCAUGAGGUAGUGCCCACUCACCAUUGUCUCACAUAUAUUUAGCAACAAAAAUAUCCAUCACAUGCACUCAUGCAAGGUAUGAUUGUAUGCGAGGUUUUAUCAAUAUAAUCCAGAAUCACACAAUCGAUGCACCACUCACACAACUUCAUGCCAAUCAGAGCUCAAGAUGCUUGCCUUUGGAGUUUUAGAAGGGUGGUGUGCACCCCAAAAUCUUGAAGUAAGUCUCCUCUCUCCAAUUUCCUAUUUUAAAAAUAUUUAAAUUAACACACACUUACAAAACAGCACAUAAAAUUUGUUUGAAUUUUUUGAAAUAAAUCUGUAAAUAAACUAGAGGAAAAUGGAGAGAGGUAGGAAAAAGAAUCGGUCCAUUUGGAGUUGCGGUUAAAAAGUUAUGAGCAGUCAAACUCUAUUUUUAAAACAAAACAGAAAGGAAAACGUUGCGCAUUGAAUAAGUCUUGUAGAAGAGAAAGCAUAUUUAUUAGAACUCUUCGGGUAGAGUACGCCUUCGGAAAUAGGAAACGUACCCGAUGGCUUGAAAGCUUUCACACGGUGAAUGCGUACUCCGUGCAGUACGCGUCCUCGAAGAGAAAGCGCAUCUGGCGCGGUGUGCCAACAGCGAGGGAGGACGGCUCACUGAUAGGUGGGGCCACCCUAUCAUAUUCGUCUCCCUCCUCAAUGCGCGUGAUGACACACAGCCGGGGCGAAUUCUGGCGCCGAUUGCCGGCGACUCAAGGCACCACACGACGCGUUCCAGCUAUGCAUACACUCGGGGGGGAAUGCGCCGCAUCCAGUUUUGGAGGCUAGGGGCAUG